AUAUUAGUCAAUGCUCGCAAGAGUGAACUAGCUAACUGAAAUCCUCAAUGUGUCAUUGGGGAUAACGUAAGGGAAAAUAAUGAUAUUACCUUACUAUUAGUGUCGUCCAAGUACUCGUGCCAGAAGACUCGGUAAGGCGAGAGACGCAAACGUUAUUCGUCUUGAUCAGGCGUAAAGGGUUUGUAGGCUGCUUUAAGUAUCUAAUUUUUAGUUUACUAUUUUAAUCUUUAAAAAUAAAUAUAUAAUAAAAUAUAUAUCAUAUUAUUUAAUAUUAAAAAAAUAAAGAAAGGAUCAAUUAAAGCUAGAAUCUAAAAGAGGUUAAAACAAUACUUCAGAAAGGAGUGCUAACCGUAGAUAAGGAGCAGAGUGUUAAGGGCGAAGGCAUUUAUCCAAUAAAGAUUGACGCUGAGAAACGAAGGUGAGGACAGAAAAAAGGAUUAGAGACCCUUGUAUCCCUCACUGUCAACGAUGAAUGGUAGUUACUAGUAAGAAAUAAGCUAGAGACGAUGUUAACACGAAAACCAUUCCGCCUUGUGAGUACGACUGCAAAGUUGAAAACAAAAAAAUUAGUCGGUUUCGGAGCAAACAGAAGUGAAGCAUGUUAUUUAAUUCGAAUAAAAUCCGC
This 625-nucleotide ribosomal RNA is filed under the name Pallidohirschioporus biformis. Its description in RNAcentral is "Trichaptum biforme partial small subunit ribosomal RNA". It matches the Rfam family "Bacterial small subunit ribosomal RNA", at positions 361 to 964 of the family's 1533-position model. The record is from RNAcentral. Lineage: Eukaryota; Fungi; Basidiomycota; Agaricomycetes; Hymenochaetales; Hirschioporaceae.